Molecule: long non-coding RNA, 648 nt
Filed under: Helianthus annuus (common sunflower)
Lineage: Eukaryota; Viridiplantae; Streptophyta; Magnoliopsida; Asterales; Asteraceae
Source: RNAcentral
UUUGGGACACGUGUCGCAAUAUCUGGGCUCUAAAUUUUGGUUUUGGCGGGAAAACAUAUUAGCAAUCUUGAUGCGGGAUCCGUUUAUAUUUUUGGGUUGGAAUGUGAAUUCGGGUCAUGAAAACGGAUCCAUAUGUAACGUCUUACCUUCUAUACUCAAACCCUAGAAUUCACAAUCUUCUCAUUCACGCCUUCUUUCUUCAAUCCUCUGCUCCAUUCAACCUUCAAUGAUAUGGAUUUUGAGAAUGAGAGCCAGAGAGAGAAAGAGGGGAUUUGGGAGAAACAGACCGCUAAUUUCCAUUUUGGUUUCUGGAAUUGGUGAAUCGGGCGAUGUUGAUGAGGUUCAACUCGUGGUGGUGUUGUCUUGAUAGGGUCGAAUUUAGCUGGUUUAGGUCCUGUCUGACCCGGUUUGUUUUCUUAUAUUAUGUUUUUGUUGUUUGAAUUGGUUUAUGUGCACCCCUACAAUUCAUAACUAACAACUUAAGAGGGAAUAUGUGCAUGCAUCCUAUGACAACUACAUCACCAACUCUAUCAGUUACACAACAUAAGCCAGCCCCUAUAGUUAUCUACUUCUUAGAUAGGGGCCGUUCGUUUGCUACAAAAAAGAUACGUCAAGUCAUUUUAUGUUAAGCACAAUAUUAGUAUUUUA